Molecule: transfer RNA, 74 nt
Filed under: Wolbachia endosymbiont of Brugia pahangi
Lineage: Bacteria; Pseudomonadati; Pseudomonadota; Alphaproteobacteria; Rickettsiales; Anaplasmataceae
Also listed under: 2 other names
Description: tRNA-Arg
Rfam family: tRNA
About the family: Transfer RNA (tRNA) molecules are approximately 80 nucleotides in length. Their secondary structure includes four short double-helical elements and three loops (D, anti-codon, and T loops).
Source: RNAcentral
GCGCCCGUAGCUCAGCUGGAUAGAGCAACAGCCUUCUAAGCUGUGGGUCGUAGGUUCGAAUCCUACUGGGCGCA